Molecule: ribosomal RNA, 493 nt
Filed under: uncultured bacterium
Lineage: Bacteria
Description: bacterial SSU rRNA
Rfam family: Bacterial small subunit ribosomal RNA
Source: RNAcentral
GACGAACGCUGGCGGCGUGCUUAACACAUGCAAGUCGAGCGGAAAGGCUCCUUCGGGGGUACUCGAGCGGCGAACGGGUGAGUAACACGUGAGUAAUCUGCCCUUGGCUUUGGGAUAACUACCGGAAACGGUGGCUAAUACCGGAUACGACGACUCCACGCAUGUGGUGGUUGUGGAAAGUUUUUUCGGCCAGGGAUGUGCUCGCGGCCUAUCAGCCUGUUGGUGGGGUAAUGGCCUACCAGGGCUUCGACGGGUAGCCGGCCUGAGAGGGUGACCGGCCACACUGGGACUGAGACACGGCCCAGACUCCUACGGGAGGCAGCAGUGGGGAAUAUUGGACAAUGGGCGGAAGCCUGAUCCAGCAACGCCGCGUGAGGGAUGACGGCCUUCGGGUUGUAAACCUCUUUCAGUACCGACGAAGCGCCGAUGAUGGUGGUGACGGUAGGUACAGAAGAAGCACCGGCCAACUACGUGCCAGCAGCCGCGGUAACAC